Coregonus clupeaformis (lake whitefish) is the source of this 397-nucleotide non-coding RNA. The record is from the annotation of a RefSeq genome assembly. Lineage: Eukaryota; Metazoa; Chordata; Actinopteri; Salmoniformes; Salmonidae.
CUACCUUUACAGAACUACACAGAUCACCAUGUUUCCUACCACAGGAAUACUCUUACUGACAGUCUAUCUAACAGGUAUUCAUGGUCAAACACUGACUGAGUCUGGACCAGUGGUUAAAAAGCCUGGAGAAUCCCACACACUGACCUGUACAACCUCUGGGUUCACUUUCAGAGGCUAUGAGAUGGCUUGGAUCAGACAGGCUCCUGGGAAAGGACUGGAGUGGGUUGCUUUUAUUAGCACAUCUAGUACUCCCAUCUCUUACUCCCAGUCAGUCCAGGGUAGAUUCACCAUCUCCAGAGAUGACUCCAGCAGUAAGCUGUACCUACAGAUGAACAGCCUGAAGAGUGAGGACACAGCAGUGUAUUACUGUGCUAGAGAGUCACAGUGGUUAAACUAA